Molecule: ribosomal RNA, 606 nt
Filed under: Micrometula hyalostriata
Lineage: Eukaryota; Foraminifera; Allogromiidae
Description: bacterial SSU rRNA
Rfam family: Eukaryotic small subunit ribosomal RNA
Source: RNAcentral
GGGUCCGGACACACUGAGGAUUGACAGGCAAAAGAUACAAGUUUUCUUUGUGAGAGCUUGCAUUGUAAAAUAUGCGAGUCCUUUCAUGAUUAUGUGAUAGGUGGUGCAUGGCCGUUCUUAGUUCGUGGAGUGAUCUGUCUGCUUAAUUGCGUUUCACAACGAUUUAAAAUGCUAUGUUUUCUGUGUUUGCUGUUCGGUUUUAGCUCUUACGGGAGUUUUUAACUUUGAACGCACACGGCGUAGCUUAAAACAAUCGGAAAGCAACGAACGUGACCGCAACCUCUUGUUGCCUUUAUUUUUAAAAGCGUGGAAAAUUUUAUUUUCUUACGCUUGAAAAAGGCUUUAAAACUAGAGGGACCGCUGUUCUAUUCUCUUAAACCAGAGGAAGAUUGCGGCAAUAACAGGUCUGUGAUGCCCUCAGAUGUUCCGGGCUGCACACGUGCUACAAUGAUUGUUGCAGUGAGCAUCUAUUUUCAAACGCUACCGUUGCGGAUUUUGUGAGAAGGGAGCUUGUUUUAAAGCUUUCGGGUGGAGAAGCAGGUUUCUUUUUUUCACAAUUUAUUCCGCGUUACGUGUCAGCUAAACCUGCUUCGAAAGCAAGUAGGU